This is a long non-coding RNA of Helianthus annuus (common sunflower), 3250 nucleotides long. RefSeq lists it as uncharacterized. NCBI's taxonomy places the organism in Eukaryota, Viridiplantae, Streptophyta, Magnoliopsida, Asterales, Asteraceae. The transcript is spliced from 13 exons. The record is from RefSeq and is a predicted model, not a curated record.
CCAUGUUCCUCCUCCUUCUUCCUUACAAUUCCUUUCAAAAUGUUCCUCCUUCUUCUUCAUUGUUGUUCUACGAUUCAAACUCUACAAUCGAUCGGUAUGUAUUAAUCAUUUUGAUAUCUGUUAUUUUGAUUGUUAAUUUCAUCUAUCUUUGUUGGUUUAUCCCAUCUUUAUUAUUAAUGUUGUUUAUAUGGUUUUUUCACAUAUAAUCGGCGAUUCCUUUAUUGUUACGAUUCCAAGUGUAAAUCAGAUUUAUAUGUCAUGCCAAUUUUUUGGGGAAAAAUAAUCGAAACCUUGCUGAGUGCGACAUUUAUCAUCAGGUAUGAAACUUCUAUUUAUUUAUGGCUGACCUCCAUAUCUCUCUACCUAUUGACUUGGAUCUGCAUAUUCAAUCAAGAAUCUUUAAAAACAUCUAAGGUAAAACUACAUGAUGAUGGUUAAAUAUUGUUUGUUUAUGUUGUUCGAUCUUCAAUUUAUUCAAGAAAAGUUAAGCUUUUGAUGUUGAAAACCGUUUCGGCAGUUGGUAAUGUUUGUUGUUGUUCUUAUUUUUUGUAGAUCAUUAGACAUAUAGAGAAGGUUUAAAUUUUUUCAUGAAUAAACCUAAAUGUUAUGCCACUGCCGGACUAUCAAUCUUCGUCGAACAUGUUACAGAUAUGGAUCAGAGUAACAACAAUCCUUCAUUUUAAAGCUGAUUGAGAAAUACCUAAUGACUUUGCUUCAAUGAUGUGGGGAGAGCAACCACCUUAAAAAUAAUCUGUUAAGAUUGUUGAUGGCAACAAGUUAUGGUUUGUAAGACGGAAAAAAACUGAUUUGGGCCCUGUACUUGGUGAUGGCUUCACCAAAGUUGUUUGGGACAGUCGUAUAACAAAAAAUGACUAUCUUAUGUUUCAGUCAUAUUUUUUUCAUCACUCUUUAAAUUUCCAGUAACUUUUCAUGUAUUGUACUAUCAUUUCUACGUAUUUUCAUGUUUUCCAUUGAUGAUAAACCUAUGUUAGUUUUAAUUAUUUUUUUAGAAGAUAAAAGUUUUGAUUCUAUAAUUAUAACCGUGUGUUAUGAUGUUUUAUUUUAGCUUUCUGCUGGUGUUUAGAAAAUGCAUAAUGCGUUCAAACAACUAUAUUCAUCUUCUUCUGAACUUCCAAUGAAUGUCGUCGCUAAUGAUUGUUCCUUUGCUUCUUAUUUUGUUUUAUCAUAUAUUAUUUUUUAAAACAUUGAAGAGACUAAUGAAAUUCUUUUUUCCCAAAAUCUUUCAGAUUUCAGAUGUUGGUUCUCUUACAUUAUGAAAGGUAAUUCCUGAAUGACGUCUUGAACGUGUUAAAGUAGAAGUUAAAGAAGAAGUUGCUGCUUAAAGUGUUUAGUAUUAGGGUUUAUAAAUGUUUUUUCUCAGUAUUACAUUUUAUAAAUGUUUACUUCUACAGACGUUCGUAUCAUCGAUUAAUCUACCCUAUUCAUCAUGAAAUUUUCAUUUAUUCAUAUAUAUGUAUAUAUAUUAUUUUAGAAACAUAGAUUAACAACCCGGGAGUAUUCCCGGGUUAUAACCUAGUUAUCUAUAUACUAAUUAUCUAUAUACUAAUUUUAGAAGUUUGUGAACACUAUCGCUUGACAUGUGGCACAUUCUCAUUAGCUCUUUUUUUAUCUUUCCUUUUUUUGUGUAUAAAUAUGAAUUUUUUUUUUGCAUCUAAUCAUAUUUGUGCAGCUGGUAAUUUGGUUAUGUGUUGGUUAUUAUGCUCCACUCACGGAGGUUCGAUCCCUGGUGUUAUUUUUUGUCUUCCCUAUUUUAUUCUUUUAGUACAGACAACAAAUUGAGAGAUGAACAACAGGGAUAACUAAAAAACCUUAAAUCGAAUGAAGAUGAACAACAGGGACAACUAAAGAACCCUAAAUCGAAUGAUGGCUUUCACAGGUGGUGACGUAUCGAGUUCAGGAGCCGAGCGCUACAAAUUUUGGAGCGGAAAAUCCGUUGUGUCCGUCGUCAUUGACCAAUCAUUGGCUCCCUGUUUCUCAAAUCAAAAAGCUCCACCAAAAUCUCCAAAACAUUAUAAUUAUCCCCAAUCGCGGUGUCAUUGUUGAGUUGAAUACGUUAACAACUGAUGCGUUGGUCGGUCACAGAGUUACAGAGGCUGCAGUGGUGAAGAUCAGGUUUACGACGACGUUUGUGGGGGUCAGCUGUGCUCCUGUGGCGAUUUCAGAUGAGACAACUUUGAGCAGAGUUUCGCGUUGUUUCCAGAAAAGAUGGGUACUUGGAUGAGCAGCGGUAGGUUGUUGGAAAGCCAAAAUAAGUCCUGGACGACAAUUGAGGGUUUUGAAGACAAGAACAAGGAACCGCGACAGGAUAUGGCGGUAAUGGCAACAAAGAGGUGUCAAGGGUUUGGUUCUUAGGGCGUUCAAUGGUUGUAGGCGGCUGCAGGAGCCGAGCUAUCAGUGAUUGGCAAUUGAAGACGACGGUUGAUGUGCAUCUCCGACGAAUGGGAGUGAUGGGCCGAAUAUAUUCCAAGGUACACCAAACACCACCUCCUUUGAUCACUGCUGCUCGGCAGCCGAAGAGCGCCUCUGGCGCCAACAAUCAUCACCGCCACAUGUACUCAUUGCCGUGGCCUCGGCAACUUUUUGAUGGGUUUAGGCCGGAAGACAAAUUUUGUAGGUUUUCUUCACAGGGAUUCAGUUCUCAUGUGGCUAACAACACCCCUGCAACCACAGAAAGCAAGAAGUCCUUGAAUUUCAGCUGCCAUAAAGAUGCAUAGAGUUAAGAAGAAGAAGGUUGCUCAAAAAAUAAAGCAAGAGAAACAACUAAACCAGCAUGAUUCUAUGAUCAAAUAUUCUCAUCGACUGCAAGUCGAUUUUGUUGGCUGUGGCACAAAAAGAAGGCCUUACACGCCGUGCCCCAAAUGUAGUCAAUCUAUACCUGAAGUUGCACUGAAUGGUUUUGCUCGCUUAGCGGGCAGCAGGAGAAAGCAAACAUAAUAUUAAGAUCCACCAUCGAAAAGACCAGGUAAAGGCGGGCUGGUGGAGUAAAACUCGAUUUGCUAGAGACGUCCUUCUUGCCCUCCUAAAAGAAUAGGCAAAGGUGGGAUAGUGAUCUAAAACUAGCAUGCUUAUUUAAUCACAGGGUGUUAUUAACAUGAGGAAUACUUGCAACCAUAACUAAAUGAAACUAGCUUGUAAUGUAGUGCAACGCGCGACCACGAAUACCCCUAGUUAUGAUUUAAUUAUGUAUAUUUUUUCUUUCUUUAUAAAAAAGAUCUAAAUUCUAUCUAAA